GGUUUAUCUAAUCAGUUCAGGUGGUUAGCUCUUCACUUUGCUCAUAAAUCAAGCCAAGCCUGCCUCAAUUCCUAGUAACAGCGAUUGAUUGGGUACCUAGUGUAGACAGUAAACAUAAUUUGCAUAGUUCGUAUAACAUGGAGAUUAAGCAUUGGCUUUGGUGUCAGACAGCCUGGGUGAGAAUCCUGCUGUUUGUUUGCUGUGUGACCUGAGGUAAGUCUCUUUACCCCUCUGCCAUCGUUUCCUCAUCUGUGAAGGGAAAUAACACAACACAUUUGAACUAACCUAGGGUUGUUGAGAGAAUUCAAUGAGCCAGUGCAUGAGGUGCUUAGCACUGAGCUGAGGGUAUGGAAAAUAGUCAGUAGAUGCUUACCGUUAUUCUUAAUCCUUACAACAGCCCCACAACCAAAGCAACACCAUCUCCACUUUAUACAUGUGGAAACGAAUAUUCAAAGAAUCAAGUCCAAAAUCACACAGCUGCUAAGUAAUUUGGCUGGCAAGAAGAGGAAUUAUGAUCAAACUCCAAAACCGAAGUGUUUGUCACUAUACCCCAGGCCUGAGACAGGUUAAACCUAGGAGGAAGGGUUCUCUCUGAGGGAUAAAAAUCGGAACUUGUCCACUUGGCUUGUUGUUUUUGCAUAUAGUAAUGGAAAGACCCACCGACUAGCUGUGAGAACUUGGGUGAGUCUCUCAAACAUCCUGAGGCUGUUUACUCAUCUGCAAAAUGGACACAAAAACACCUGCUGUGCGCUUUUCACGGGUGGUGGUCAGAGUGAUGUGAGAAACAGUACGCAGCAGAGCGCUGUAAAACUGUCAAGUGCUCGACAGUGUCGGGUUGGAUGUGUGCUCUGGGGCAGGCCUCACUUUUCCUUGGUUGCGUCCAGCGGCUCAGCCAAAGUGAGUUUUGUGGGGGCUCCCACUGUGGUCAUUGGGCCUCAGCUGCAGCAGUCGGGCCUAGAGGCCCAUGGGUGCCUCCCCAGGGGGCAGAGGUUUGGCCGUCUUCACCUGAUUCCAGGGUGGGCAAUCUGGGAGGUGACCCCCAAUGUGGAUGCAGCAGCUGCUGCUCAUCUGUAGUAAGUCAGCGACCCGGACAGAUGAGGUGUCCGUGGUGACCUUCCUGCCUCGGUGAGUGUGGGAACUCGGGGCUUCCCAGGGCCGGGGGUGGGAACGUAAAUGAAGUGGUCCCUGCUGAAGUCGGGCUUUGUGUCCUCCCUUUGCUGCCCUAACCAAGGAGGAGGCACAGGCAUGGGGCAUCGUGGAGGCUCCACCGCAAGGGUGCCAAGAGAAAAAAGCCUGAACUCUGGGAUCCCAGGGUUGCUCUACCUCCUGGCACUGUCCUGACUCCUGCAGAGGUGGACGUUUCCUGCCAAAAGUCCCACUGCGCCACUGUUUGCUGUCAACAAGGCAGAGUCUGAAAUAUAUCACCCUGGUGGAAACUCUCCUUCCCUCCCUCUUCCGUCUGUAUUCUGUAGGCAAUCAUCUGGGGAGAGCAGGAGUCGCCAUCUCUUUCUAGCAAAAGACAGCAAACGUUUUCAUUUGUCUGCAGAAGUCUUGGCCUAAGAUGGUCUAUUCAUGAUGAACCCCUAUGUUUGCUACUUUUUGCUUUGACUGGCUUUCUAUGCCUUUCUGGUAUGUCCAGAGUGAUUCUGCGGCAAAAUCCUAAAACAUUUCAAGUUCAUAUUGGUGUCUUCUCACCUUUUUCUCUAUUUUCUUUCUCUCUGUCUUUAUAUUGGCCAGCACUUCCUGCCUUUAACAGAUGUGCCAGACACCAUAAAGGUGCUGGGGAUAUAUCAGCCAGCAAGCAGGAUAAAGAGGAUGAGUUCCCAUCACUUACAUCCCAGCUGGGGAGACAAAUGCUGGACCAGCAUUCUCACAAGAAGGUGUUUAGUGUGCUGUGGGUGCCUGUAUCAGCAGGUGCAAACUCAGACCUGGCUAAGGAAGGCCUCCCUAAGUCUGGAAGCAGAGGGGAGGCAGCAUUUGCAGAAGCAAAAAUGAAUAGCACAGCUGCUUGUGGUACAAGACCUGGGCCUGGCCCUCCCCCUUGAGCAGUGCUUCAUGUCUAAGCACUUCUGCCUACUCACCCACCAUAAAACUGCCAUGUAUGCUGUUCUUCUGAGGCUCUGCUUUUUUCCUUCCAUGAUUGCAGUCUCCACUGAUAAUUUCCUAAAAUGGGCUUGGAGCCUGGAGACUUAGAUUCUUAACUGAAUUCCACAAUUUAACUGUACAACUUGAACGAGUGACUUAGCAUCUCUGAGCCAUAGUUCCUCAUCAGUAAUAUGCCAAUAGCAACACUGAAUAGCCAGCUCCCAAUGUUAAGUAAUUUAUUGCAUUUAAUCCUCACAAAUUUAAUCCUCAUGAAGUAGGUAAUAUUUUUAUCCCCUUCUAUCCUCUCAAAGGGAAGUAUGAGUGUGGCACUAAUGUGGAGGUGCUUUGUAACCAUUAAGGGUUAAUGCACAAUUGACAUAAUAUUACCACAGUGUUCACAAGUGCGUGUAUAAUGAAUAAAUUCAUUUGUUAAAUGCCACAACAAUUCUGGGAUACACAUAAGUAAAUGAGGAUCAAGAUCUUUUGUGUCUGCCUCCCAAGCAAACCAAACAAAAAGCAGUAGCAAGAACAAAGUGUUGUCAUCACCAAAAAGCUAAUUGCAUGUAGUGACAAACCACUGAAGGGAGAAUUCCACAGAUGUGACCCUAGAACCUCUGAAAUUUACAGUCUGAUGACCACCACUGCCUGGAACACAUAUGCAGGCAACAGACCGAAAGCUCAGAAUCAACUCAGGAAGAGACACUGAGAUUGUCUCAAACCUAUUGCCCACCAAGGGUAUGAGUUUUUCAGGAGGCUACAUGAGCUGGGAGAAAUUCAUAAACUUACAGCAGAAUUCAAGGUUAGGACUGGAGCCAGAAGGGUCUAAGUUUCUAAGUUUUUUUCUCUUUAGUACGUGUCCCUCCACUUUCUAUCAUUUUAUCACAGCAUUUUUUUACUCCAAAGCCCAAUUCCAGGAAAUUAUUUAUACAUGAUAAUACAUUGUCAUAAUAAUGACAGAUUCUUAAAUUAUCAAGUUCUGAAACCAUGGACGUGUGUAGCAAAGUAAUAGGAAUAUAUAUGUUGCGCCCUCAUGCGCCUGAGUAUGGGCUUUUGUGUGUCUGCUGUGAGUGCGUGAGUGUAGCUUCCUACACUUACACUCCCCCACUUGGCAAGCAGUGGUGCUGGCUUCCCCUGAAAGUAGCCAGUGUGGGAGAGAAUCAAAAAACAAAUGAGGUGAAAGAGCAGAGCUGUGGUUUGAUACUCACGGAUCCAAAUGAAAGGCGAUGAAUAAGAAAGUCAAUGAGCUGAAAAUGACCUGAGUUAAGGCACCUCCUAGGGACUGUACUCCCUGUGAACAAUUGUAAUAGACAUUUGUUUAAGCUCUUUUAAAGUGCUUUGAAACUUUAAUACCCAUUUCUUCCCUCAAAAUAUAGGGAGUCUAUUGGGGAAGUUAAGCGCACCUUCUGGGUUCAAGUCCAAUGUCCAACACAUUCUGCCAUUUCCUGGUGGAAUGAUAUCGGGCAGGUCACAAUCCUCUAAUUUGGGAAGAGUGCUGUCUACCUCAGGAAGUUCUUGUGAAGAUAAAAUGUGCAUUUUUUUAAGCUGAGGAGAAGGAUGCAGUGGAGGGAGAUUGAAGAUAGGAAGAGAAAGUAGAACUGAGUCAGCUUUCAAGAGCCUGCCGUCGAAGCCUCCUUUCUUCAGGAAACUUCCAACCAUGCUCCAUGAACUUGUCUCACACCAGGAGUUUCCCUCGUGAUUUUUAAGGCACAAAGCAUCUUCCUUUCAAGAUAUCUGGAG
This is a non-coding RNA of Sus scrofa (pig), 3822 nucleotides long. Lineage: Eukaryota; Metazoa; Chordata; Mammalia; Artiodactyla; Suidae. The record is from RefSeq and is a predicted model, not a curated record.